UACGUAGGGUGCGAGCGUUUGUCCGGAAUUAUUGGGCGUAAAGGGCUCGUAGGCGGUUUGUCGCGUCGGGAGUGAAAUCCACUGGCUUAACUGGUGGCUUGCUUUCGAUACGGGCAGACUGGAGGUAUGCAGGGGAGAACGGAAUUCCUGGUGUAGCGGUGAAAUGCGCAGAUAUCAGGAGGAACACCGGUGGCGAAGGCGGUUCUCUGGGCAUGUCCUGACGCUGAGGAGCGAAAGUGUGGGGGAGCGAACAGG
Molecule: ribosomal RNA, 255 nt
Filed under: uncultured bacterium
Lineage: Bacteria
Description: partial 16S ribosomal RNA
Rfam family: Bacterial small subunit ribosomal RNA
Source: RNAcentral